Molecule: ribosomal RNA, 532 nt
Filed under: uncultured Alphaproteobacteria bacterium
Lineage: Bacteria; Pseudomonadati; Pseudomonadota; Alphaproteobacteria
Description: bacterial SSU rRNA
Rfam family: Bacterial small subunit ribosomal RNA
Source: RNAcentral
UCUUCGGAUCUAGUGGCGCACGGGUGAGUAACGCGUGGGAACCUACCUUUUAGUACGGGACAACGUUUGGAAACGAACGCUAAUACCGUAUACGCCCUCCGGGGGAAAGGUCAGCCGCUAAAAGAGGGGCCCGCGUCUGAUUAGCUUGUUGGUAAGGUAAUGGCUUACCAAGGCUUCGAUCAGUAGCUGGUCUGAGAGGAUGAUCAGCCACACUGGGACUGAGACACGGCCCAGACUCCUACGGGAGGCAGCAGUGGGGAAUAUUGGACAAUGGAGGCAACUCUGAUCCAGCAAUGCCGCGUGUGUGAUGAAGGCCCUAGGGUUGUAAAGCACUUUCAACGGUGAAGAUGAUGACGGUAGCCGUAGAAGAAGCCCCGGCUAACUUCGUGCCAGCAGCCGCGGUAAUACGAAGGGGGCGAGCGUUAUUCGGAAUUAUUGGGCGUAAAGGGCUCGCAGGCUGCUUGAACAGUUAGACGUGAAAUCCCCGGGCUCAACCUGGGAACUGCGUUUAAUACUAGCAAGCUAGAGUAAU